CAAUAAAAAGCCGACUAUUU
RNAcentral lists this microRNA (20 nucleotides) under Ananas comosus (pineapple). Its description in RNAcentral is "microRNA s0470_c59a". The record is from RNAcentral. Lineage: Eukaryota; Viridiplantae; Streptophyta; Magnoliopsida; Poales; Bromeliaceae.